Molecule: unclassified non-coding RNA, 348 nt
Filed under: soil metagenome
Description: partial contains 5.8S ribosomal RNA, internal transcribed spacer 2, and large subunit ribosomal RNA
Rfam family: 5.8S ribosomal RNA (bases 1-120)
Source: RNAcentral
GAUGAAGAACGUAGCGAAACGCGAUAAGUAAUGUGAAUUGCAGAAUUCAGUGAAUCAUCGAGUCUUUGAACGCACAUUGCGCCCCCUGGUAUUCCGGGGGGCAUGCCUGUCCGAGCGUCAUUGCCGCCCUCAAGCACGGCUUGUGUGUUGGGCCCCCGCCCCCCGGCUUCGGGGGGCGGGCCCGAAAGGCAGCGGCGGCACCGCGUCCGGUCCUCGAGCGUAUGGGGCUUCGUCACCCGCUCUGUAGGCCCGGCCGGCGCCCGCCGGCGACCCCAAUCAAUCUUUCCAGGUUGACCUCGGAUCAGGUAGGGAUACCCGCUGAACUUAAGCAUAUCAAUAAGCGGAGGA